This 500-nucleotide ribosomal RNA is filed under the name uncultured bacterium. Its description in RNAcentral is "partial 16S ribosomal RNA". It matches the Rfam family "Bacterial small subunit ribosomal RNA", at positions 30 to 523 of the family's 1533-position model. The record is from RNAcentral.
AUUGAACGCUGGCGGAAUGCUUUACACAUGCAAGUCGAACGGCAGCACGGACUUCGGUCUGGUGGCGAGUGGCGAACGGGUGAGUAAUGUAUCGGAACGUGCCCAGUCGUGGGGGAUAACGUAGUGAAAAUUACGCUAAUACCGCAUACGAUCUAUGGACGAAAGCGGGGGAUCGCCAGACCUCGCGCGAUUGGAGCGGCCGAUAUCAGAUUAGGUAGUUGGUGGGGUAAAGGCCCACCAAGCCAACGAUCUGUAGCUGGUCUGAGAGGACGACCAGCCACACUGGAACUGAGACACGGUCCAGACUCCUACGGGAGGCAGCAGUGGGGAAUUUUGGACAAUGGGCGAAAGCCUGAUCCAGCCAUUCCGCGUGCAGGAUGAAGGCCCUCGGGUUGUAAACUGCUUUUGUACGGAACGAAAAGGUUUCUACUAAUACUAGGAGCUCAUGACGGUACUGUAAGAAUAAGCACCGGCUAACUACGUGCCAGCCGCCGCCGUAA